Molecule: long non-coding RNA, 3819 nt
Organism: Gallus gallus (chicken)
Lineage: Eukaryota; Metazoa; Chordata; Aves; Galliformes; Phasianidae
Source: Ensembl
GGGGGCCCCGCGCCCCGCGCCGCCGGACACGGAGGGAGCGCCGGGCCCGACCGCAGCCCCCCCCGCGUCUCUCCUUCCGACGGGGCACGGAGCGCCCGCAGCCCUCAGCCCGCUUCCAACGAGGACUCUGCGCUCCUCGGGGCCGCCGGGCCCCCCUCCUGUCCUCUCCUCUCCUUUCCUCUCCUUUGCUCUCUUCUCUCCCGUCCUGUCCCGUUCCAUCCCGCCCCCUCUCCGUGCCGGCACUGCCCCACCAGCAUCCCGGCGUCUGCACCGGAGCCCACGGCCGCGAGAGGCGAUGCGAUACGAUGCGAUGCGAUGCCACGCAGGGGUUCGUCUCUGGACCAACGUCCAUUGUCUCCUUCGAUUUCCCUUUUGAAUUUAGCCCAUCUCCCCCCCUCCGUUCCGCAGCGUUGUUUUCCGGGAUGCAGAACUCCGGGCAGCCGACCCGGACCCCGCAGCCGAGCAGGUGGGAAUCCGGCAGGUUUGUGAGGAGUGAGGAACGGCCUCGUUUGGCUUCGGGGCUCUUUUUUCCUCCUUUUUUUUUUUUUUCUUUUUUCCUCCUUUUUUUUUUUUUCUUUUUUUCUCCUUUUUGGCUUUUUUUCUCCCCCCCCCCCCCCCCCUUCCUCUCCUUUUCUUUCGACCACGGGGGUCGCAGAGAGAGGGCGAGCAGCAGGAAGGCAGCAGCAGAAGGCAGCAGCACAAAGCACACGGCCGCGGUGCCGCAGGGAUCCCCCACGCCGCGGUGCCGCCGACCUCAGGUGCAGAAAUCCCACCCCGCUCCUCUUCUUCUUCCUCCUCUCCCUCCUCCGAGCGCGGGUUUUUAACACGAACUCAACGCGUCUCCUCAGUACCUCAACGUGUGGUGGCUGGGGGAGCUGGGAGCCCCGCCACGUCUCCCCCCUUUUUUUGGGUUUGGUUUUCAUUUUUUUUUUUUUUUUUUCCCCCCCCUUUUUGGUUUUUUUUUUUUUUUAAUUUUUUGUCCUCUCUCCCCCUUUUUUAAUUAUUCUUAAUGACCACCUCGACGUUCCGCCAGCGCGGCUCCUGCCGCCGCGGAGCACAGCGGGGCCUCUCGGCGCUCUCCUCUGUUAUUAAAUGGAUUUUCACUCUCGAAUGGUCUUUAUUUUUUAAAGCAAUCGGCUCAGUCCCGCCCUGCACAGCGGGGUUUUUUUUAAGCCAACACGCCGUACUCCUAACUUUGAACUGAAUGGGAGCCCGCUGUUCAUUCCAAAGUUCCAGCUAUUGCUGUGUGACGCCUCCCAGGCUCUCGUAGGACCGUCGUCGUCCCUCCGGUUCUGUCUCACACCACGCACGCCCGCCCUCUCAUUUCAGCUGCCUUCUUAAUUUAUUGUCUCCAUCCCUCUCCCGGCCGCCCCGCUCCGUUUGCUCCGUAUUUAUUGGCAGAAGUGAGGCACGGCCGAGGGCGGCUCAUCCCAGCGGGGCCGUCCCCACGCGCCCCCCGCCGCCCCUUUUGAAGGGAAUUUUUAACCAGGACUCUCUUCCGUUUUCCUGUUUUUAACUCUCCUCCAUCACGAAAGGACUCGGUUUCCGACGCCCUCCCGGGAGCAAUAGUAAUUCCUGCGUGUCCGCCCGGCGCCGUACACUCGUACUGUAUUUUGUACUGUAAGGCAGCUGUCCCAGUGAUGUCCUGCUGUAUUGCUGUGUGUGUCCGCGCCAGCAGCGCCGCGUCCCCUCGCUUCGGUGCUGAUGGACUUUCUGUUGCUCAGCUGCUGGGAGCCACUCCGGUUCUUGCGCCGACGCGGGCGGUACCUCUCCUUUUCGAAGAGGGUUAUAUAUAUAUAUAUAUAAAUAUAUAUAUUCUUUUUGGGGUUUUUUUUUUUUUCUCCUUUUUUUGGUUUUUUUUUUUGGAUUUUUUUUUGGCUGAAUUCGCCUUACCUUUCUUACUCCGUGGUAGCGCCGCUUAGGAGCCACGUGGAAAAGGGAAGAGGCAAACAUCACGCAGGCCAAAAAAAACCCAACACCCAGCACAUCUGUCCCACCCGGCGCCGGCUCUGAGCGCUGUAUCUAUGUACAGAAACCUCCCACAGCUCCAUUUGACCUUCCAGCACACGGGUGAGAAGAGCAGAGCGCGUCGGGGGAAGAAAUCUCGCAGCAACAAAGAGAGAACAAGCAGAGCGGUGCGGUGUUUUCUGGCCGCAGCCACACGGAGAGGCUGAGCGAGGCCCGGCUGCACCCCGCGAGGGGAGGAGAGGGGUUGUGGUGGUGGUCUGCCGUGCUCGGUGGUGGGAGCCGACUCCCCUCCUGCUCCCCAACGCCAGCGGGCAGAGCCGGGCUUCGCGUGGCGGCGGUUCGGUUGUUCCUUCUGUGUCUGUAUACACACAGCCCUGUAUGUGUGUAUAGAUAUGAGGUGGUUGUUUCGCUUGGUUGGUUUUUGUUUUUGUUUUUCUUUUUCAAUGGCUUGGAUUCUGUAGGAGACGGGCAAAAGGCUUUUAUCCGGAAGGGGAACGCCGGGUUUGUGGAGCUUCCAGAUUUCUGUCGCCCCGGAAGGGACGGUUUGAGAGCGCGACUCUAUCAAAGCAUCUGCUGUACAAACGGAAAUGUAAAUCUUGUAUAGCGCCCCAGAACCUCGUGUAAAUAGCCGAGACGUCCGGGCCGGCCGCCCGCGUGGAUCAGCCCAAGAAUCAAAUCCCACGGCUCCGUCAAAGUCAAAACUGCUUCGAUUUUCCCCGCUCCCUCCCAAGAGAAAACGGAAACGCUGCGUUACCCCGCGUGCUUCCGGCCGCCCCGGGGUAACGGGCACAGGAGUUGGCUGCAGUGAUCCCCUCAUAUUGAGUGGUCCAUCACUCCGUGACAGCGGAGGGCGACUCGUCGGGAUGCGGCCGCUCCCCGGCGCGGUUCCGAGGCGCUUCGCUCCCCAGCUGCUCCGCUCUGCACUGAGGGGCAGCUUCUCUCGUUGGCGGAAAAGAAAACCCACCUCGCCGGCUUCUCUUUUAAAAUAGAAGAUGAAAAAAAAAAAAAAAUUAAAAAGGAAAAAAAAAAAAAAGUUAAAAAGAACCGUGAAGCGAGUGGUGAUGGUACGCGGGGCGGCGCGGCGACCGUCUCUCAGCAGAUAUUUGCCACGGGGCCGGGAGCAGAUUGAGAAGAUGGCCGUUGGAAGAGCAGCUCAGCUCCGUGCCGGGAGGUUUUGGGGACGUCUGUGCGUGCUGCGGGUCCCUCCUCGUCCUCCCGUGGCUGCGGCGGUGCCCGGCAGGGCGCUGCUGCUGGGUGUGGUGGUGUUGGCAGCGCGAGGCCGACAAGAUGGCGGAGCAGGCGGUUAUCCCGGGGCGCAGGAGGAGCCGGGGGCCGCUGGAUGGCAAAACACCUUGCAAGGAGGGCCGGGCCUGGCUCCUGCAAUAUCUGCUGAGAGACCAAAACGUCGUUCACUCCUCCCCGCGUACCUUGACGAAAGAAGAAAGUUUUAUUCCUCUUAUUUUUUUAAUGAAAGAAAGAAAAAAAAAAUAAAAGCAAACCAUGCACUUUACGCGGCCCAGCGCGGGGCUGCCCGGGGGGGUCCCGUCCCCUCUCCCACGGCGGCGGGGCCGAUUCUCAUUCCCUUCCUCUGCGGCCGGCGGGGCGGCUUCGGGAGCGCCGGGGAGCGGCCGGCGUUUGCCGAAGGCAGGUCCUGGAUUUACCACUAGCAAAAGAUGACGCCCGACGUGACGAACUCCUCAUGCUAGCGAGCACUCCUUACCGUAGCAGAUUUUUGCAAAUGGAGUUUUACAGUCUAUAUUUAAAGAAUUGUAUGUUUGUAACAAAUAAAAAAAAAAAAAAGUAUGCGGAAAAGUGAAUGAAAAAAAAAAAAAAAACAACAAAAAAAAAAAC